Nicotiana tabacum (common tobacco) is the source of this 2491-nucleotide non-coding RNA. The record is from RefSeq and is a predicted model, not a curated record. NCBI's taxonomy places the organism in Eukaryota, Viridiplantae, Streptophyta, Magnoliopsida, Solanales, Solanaceae.
UAACAUUUUCAAAAGAAAAAACCCACCCCUAAAAGAAACCUAGUUUUAACUUUCGACUGAAAACAGUUGUUUUCUGCUACGGAUUCCUUUGCUCUGUGCGCCUAUUGUCUUUCUUGCUACCUUAUACUUGUCAGUUGGUCGAGGGAAUGCUGAGCCUAAGCAACACUCUUCCAACAGUUUCUGGUCCUCAGAGAAGCAGUUUUGCCUCUCCAAUUUUAGCUGUCAAUCCUCAAAAAAGUAUCAGCUUCCUUAAAAAUCACAGCUUUGUGUUUUCAUCAUCUUUAAUGAGACAACAGUCUGAACACACCCCAACUAUGUUAUCUUGCAAAGCUUCUUUGGAAGUUGUAACGGACUCACCCGGCGGUUUAGAAGUCCAUGGAAUAUCGGAAAUGGUUGUGGGUGUUUUGGGAGGAGGGCAGCUGGGUCGUAUGCUGUGUGAAGCGGCAUCCCAGAUGGCGAUCAAAGUGAUUGUCUUGGACCCAAUGAAUAAUUGUCCUGCUAGUGCACUGGCACAUCAACAUGUGGUAGGAAGCUAUGAUGACAGUGCCACUGUUGAAGAAUUUGGGAAAAGGUGUGGAGUACUAACCGUUGAGAUCGAGCAUGUUGAUGUUGUCACACUUGAGAAGCUUGAGCAACAAGGUGUGGAUUGCCAACCCAAGGCCUCUACUAUUCGUAUAAUCCAGGAUAAAUAUCUUCAGAAGGUCCACUUUUCUCGUCAUGCUAUCCCACUUCCUAAGUUUAUGCAGAUUGAUGAUCUUGAAAGUGCUAGACGAGCAGGGGACCUGUUUGGUUAUCCUCUUAUGAUAAAGAGCAGGAGGUUGGCAUAUGAUGGGCGUGGCAACGCUGUCGCUAAAAGCGAGGAGGAGCUCUCCUCUGCUGUUAAUGCACUUGGAGGAUAUGGUCGUGGUUUAUAUGUUGAGAAAUGGGCGCCAUUUGUGAAGGAGCUCUCUGUGAUUGUGGCGAGGGGAAGGGAUGGUUCAAUUGCAUGUUACCCUGCUGUAGAAACUAUUCACAGGGAUAACAUUUGUCAUAUCGUAAAGUCACCUGCUAAUGUAUCUUGGAAGAGUAUGAAACUUGCAACGGACGUUGCGCACAGAGCUGUUAGUUCAUUAGAAGGUGCAGGAGUCUUUGCUGUUGAGUUGUUUUUGACAGAAGAUGGUCAGAUUUUACUAAAUGAAGUAGCUCCCAGACCUCAUAAUAGUGGGCAUCACACCAUUGAGGCUUGCUUCACUUCACAAUUCGAGCAACAUUUGCGGGCUGUGGUUGGCCUUCCACUUGGUGAUCCAUCAAUGAAAACUCCUGCUGCAGUCAUGUAUAACAUAUUGGGGGAAGANUGAUGAGAUUCAGGCGAACCUGGAUUUCUUUUAGCUAAUCAACUUAUUGAAAAAGCAUUGGGAAUCCCGGGGGUAUCUGUUCAUUGGUAUGACAAACCAGAGAUGCGAAGGCAACGCAAGAUGGGACACAUCACAAUAGUUGGCCCUUCUAUGGGCAUUGUGGAAGCUCAGCUAAGGGUGAUUCUAAAUGAAGAAAGUGUUAAUGGCCAUCCUGCAGUUGCACCACGUGUUGGGAUCAUAAUGGGAUCUGAUUCAGAUCUUCCUGUUAUGAAGGAUGCUGCCAAGAUUUUAAAUGAGUUUGAUGUGCCUGCUGAAGUAAAAAUAGUUUCAGCCCACCGUACACCUGAGAUGAUGUUUUCUUAUGCUUUGUCUGCACGGGAACGUGGCAUCCAAGUAAUAAUUGCUGGUGCUGGUGGUGCCGCCCACUUACCUGGAAUGGUUGCUGCAUUUACUCCACUACCUGUUAUUGGCGUUCCAGUACGCGCUUCCACAUUAGAUGGACUUGACUCCCUAUUGUCCAUUGUUCAGGUACCUUUGGUCUUUACUCUAGAACAACAGUAUCCAGUCAUGUCAAGCUCGGUACUUAUGGGGGUUAAUGUCUUUUAUUGCUCGACGCGGUUGAGAUUAUGAGAAUAACUUGGAAUUUAAUGAUCACCUUGUAGGAUGGCCCAGUACCAAGAGGACAGAAGAGAUGAGGUUUUGGUCAAGGGGGAGAGACUAGAAAAGAUUGGCUUUGAAGAAUAUCUGAACUCUUAAAUUAUUUCAGCACUAGCUGUUUCUAACAUGCACCAAAGUGUACUAGCAUGGUGUUGACCUGCUUUGUACAAUAGUCAAUAUUAAAGAGCAUAAGCACGAGCACUAGGUUACAUUGAUGCUGGUCGGGAGCAAAUGCAUAUUGAGACCGAUGAAUGAAAAUCCAUCAUUCAAGAUCACGUCGAACAGCCUUCUGCUUGUAAUCUUGAGAAAGAUGUGUUGUUCUUUCUUCCCUUAUUUUUUUCUUUGAUCUGGAUUUCAGUGGCGCAAGAGUGUAGUUGUUCAAAAUUAAACUACUGGUCUGUUUCUGCGGACCAUUUUAAUCUGCUUUGUGAUUUAAAAGGAUGAGAAUUGCCAGUUUUGAUAUAUGAGAUUAAGGAGGAAUAUUGAACUUUUGCUGCAUU